RNAcentral lists this ribosomal RNA (796 nucleotides) under uncultured bacterium. RNAcentral describes it as "bacterial SSU rRNA". It matches the Rfam family "Bacterial small subunit ribosomal RNA", at positions 8 to 796 of the family's 1533-position model. The record is from RNAcentral.
AGAGUUUGAUCCUGGCUCAGGAUGAACGCUGGCGGCGUGCUUAACACAUGCAAGUCGAACGAUGAUGGGAGCUUGCUCCUGGAUUAGUGGCGAACGGGUGAGUAACACGUGAGUAACCUGCCCUUAACUCUGGGAUAAGCCUGGGAAACUGGGUCUAAUACCGGAUAUGACUCCUCAUCGCAUGGUGGGGGGUGGAAAGCUUUUUUGUGGUUUUGGAUGGACUCGCGGCCUAUCAGCUUGUUGGUGAGGUAAUGGCUUACCAAGGCGACGACGGGUAGCCGGCCUGAGAGGAUGAUCAGCCACACUGGAACUGAAACACGGUCCAGACUCCUACGGGAGGCAGCAGUGAGGAAUUUUGCGCAAUGGGGGAAACCCUGACGCAGCAACGCCGCGUGAGUGAAGAAGGCUUUCGGGUCGUAAAGCUCUGUCAAGAGGGAAGAAAGUGGAAGGUGGUAAUACUGUUUUCUAUUGACGGUACCUCUGAAGGAAGCACCGGCUAACUCCGUGCCAGCAGCCGCGGUAAUACGGGGGGUGCAAGCGUUAUUCGGAUUUAUUGGGCGUAAAGAGCGCGUAGGCGGUUUAUCAAGUCAGAUGUGAAAGCCCUGGGCUCAACCUGGGAAGUGCAUUUGAAACUAGUAGACUUGAGUAUGGGAGAGGGGAGUGGAAUUCCUGGUGUAGAGGUGAAAUUCGUAGAUAUCGGGAGGAAUACCGGUGGCGAAGGCGACACUCUGGACAGAUACUGACGCUGAGGCGCGAAAGCGUGGGGAGCAAACAGGAUUAGAUACCCUGGUAGUCC